GGAAAACAAUAUUUUAGAAAUUGAUUUUUUUUGGAGAAUAUGUGGUUAAGAAGUAAGAAAAAGUGUUGAAUUUACAUGCAAAAUAAUUUAGUGAAUGUGUGGUUGAAAAUGAGUAUGAAAAAUAAAGAGUUUCGAAAUAAAAAAGCGUCAAACAGGGUCUAUCUUAAAAUGACUGCCACCAAAUGUCUUAUAGUUGACGUGCUUUUGCACGAAAUCGAUUUAAAUUUGGAAUAUCACGGAAUCAAUGUAGUUAAUCAACAAGAUUUUCCAACCCCAGAAGUUAUUUCAUUAUUUCAGAACAAUUAAUUUAAGUUGAAAAGUCCAAAUAUACCAGUUCCUUAAAAAUGUUGGCUUAAAAUAAUUUAAAACAAGAUUUUCCAAGUCCAAAAGAGAGGCAUUAUAAAGGAAUUAGGUCAAAAUCUAUAGAAAAACUAUCACUCAAAAAUUGUCCCAAUACUAAAUCUGAUUCCACAAUUUUAAAAUCAAGUUGAAAAUCUAGGUUCAAAUAUACACAUCUCAAAAGUUUCUGCAUGUGGUACCCAACAAAAUUCUUCUGACAUCAUAAAAAUUCAAUUAACAUUUCACAAACAAAAUAUUCCAAACACCUGCAAUAAUAGUGUGGGUAUGGUGCAUAUGAACCGCAGCAAAAAGGAAAGAGCCAGUAGUAUAAAUAUAUAACGGCAACCAAAAAAUAGCUCUUUACUUUCCAUUUUCGAUAUUUUUCUUUGUUGGGCAGGAUCAUAGGAGGGAGGAGAAAUUGUAGAACAUAAUCAAGACAAAAAUUUAAGGUAAUUUGUAACAUGAAAGAAUCCAAGACCCAUAAACAAGUCAUUCGAACCCAUUAGUUAAUUGAAACAAAAAUGUGAAAUCUUGCUAGCUCUUUCAUGAACGUAAUAUAUGCCAUGACUAUGCACUGAAUUAACACCGACAAAUUAAGGAAUCAGUUGUAGAGUUUAUUGAUACAAGUUAACUAAUACUAUAUGCGAGUUCGAUCCAUACAAAAAUCACUGGUUGCAAAUACAAUUAUGAUCUUCUUGCAAAAAUUGGAUUACAACUCAGUGCUUUAAAGUGAAUACUUGAAAUUAUAACCAGAGCAUCAUUUGAUAGUUCUUAUGAAAGCUUAAUUGCUACUGAGGAAGGAAAAAGGAAUUGAAUUCUGCAUAAAAAGCACUUUUACGUCAUCUUCAAAAUAUUAUGAUAUUAACAAAAUAGAUCAGGCAUAUCAAAUUAACAGCUAAAUUUGUAGCAACUAACGCCGUGCACCUAAAAUAAUGAAGUGUUUAUGUGGAUUGAUAAACACGUUCAAAAUAAAAUGAAUCAACCUUGCUUCAUAAGGCAAGAUUAAGAUUUGGAAAACUGAAAAUGAGACACAAUGCAAAAGUAGGUCAAAUAUAUUAAUAUAAAUGCAAAAUUAGUGGGAUCUGACACUGUGCACCUAAAAUUAUAAGUUCUUGUCAUCAGCCUACUAGUUAUCUUUCAAUUUUCAACGUCAAAAUAACUUAAUUUGAUUGUGUCUGAAAUUCCACGAGUGGAGGUGGCAUUGAAAUUGCAGACAAGCCAGCAGCAGUGUGAUGACAAUUACUUUGCAACAGUUUUAGAACAAAUUGGUAGCAAAAACGGCAGAUUUAGAUUCUAAUUAGUUGACAAUUUGAUUAGGAAGUGAAUAUUUGUAGUAAAUUUGGUCAUUUACAAAGAAAUGAUAGACAAUUUUCGAAGAAUUAGAAGUGUUAGGGUUUUGGUAAAAGGCGAGAGGGAGAAAGUCAACAAAAAGUGAGAUAUGUUGUGAUUUUGUUUUGUUUAAAAUUGCCCAAAAGUUGGGUCAGGUGACCCACAGGCCUCCUCCAUGUUUGCCACUGCCCCAAAAAAAAUAAAAUUAAAUCGUAGGUUUUGGCCUAGAGAGAAAAGAUGAGAUGAAAGAGUCCGAUUUUCAAUGGCAAAAUAACUUAAUUUGAUUGCGUCAGAAGGUCCAGAGCGAAGGUGAAUUGCAAUGACAAACAAGCCAGUGGUAGCAUAUUGACAAUCACUUUGCAAUAAUGAUAGAACAAAUUGGUAGCCAAAAAAAGAAGAAGACAAAUUUAGGUUCUAAUUAGUUGACAAUUUGAUUAUGAAGUGAAUAUUUGUAGUAGAUGUGGUAAUUUAUGAAGAAAUGAUAAGAUGAAUUUUGAAGAAUUAGAAGUGUUAAGGUUUUGGUAAAAGGAGAGAGAGAGUCAACACAAAGUGUGAGAUAUGUUAAAAAAAUUUUAGGAAAAAAAUUGCCCCAGAAAUUGGGGGGUCACAU
This 2278-nucleotide long non-coding RNA is filed under the name Olea europaea (common olive). RNAcentral describes it as "long non-coding RNA (OEUR_LNC008704)". Lineage: Eukaryota; Viridiplantae; Streptophyta; Magnoliopsida; Lamiales; Oleaceae. The record is from RNAcentral.